UACGAAGGGGGCUAGCGUUGCCCGGAAUCACUGGGCGUAAAGCGCACGUAGGCGGUCUUUUAAGUCAGGGGUGAAAGCCCGAGGCUCAACCUCGGAACUGCCUUCGAUACUGGCGAUCUUGAGUCCGGGAGAGGUGAGUGGAACUCCGAGUGUAGAGGUGAAAUUCGUAGAUAUUCGGAAGAACACCAGUGGCGAAGGCGGCGCACUGGCCCGGUACUGACGCUGAGAUGCGAAAGCGUGGGUAGCAAACAGG
Molecule: ribosomal RNA, 253 nt
Filed under: uncultured bacterium
Lineage: Bacteria
Description: partial 16S ribosomal RNA
Rfam family: Bacterial small subunit ribosomal RNA
Source: RNAcentral